Molecule: ribosomal RNA, 398 nt
Filed under: uncultured bacterium
Lineage: Bacteria
Description: bacterial SSU rRNA
Rfam family: Bacterial small subunit ribosomal RNA
Source: RNAcentral
GGGAAUCUUAGACAAUGGGCGCAAGCCUGAUCUAGCCAUGCCGCGUGAGUGACGAAGGCCUUAGGGUCGUAAAGCUCUUUCGCCAGAGAUGAUAAUGACAGUAUCUGGUAAAGAAACCCCGGCUAACUCCGUGCCAGCAGCCGCGGUAAUACGGAGGGGGUUAGCGUUGUUCGGAAUUACUGGGCGUAAAGCGCACGUAGGCGGAUUGGAAAGUGUGGGGUGAAAUCCCAGGGCUCAACCCUGGAACGGCCUUGUAAACUCCCAGUCUAGAGUUCGAGAGAGGUGAGUGGAAUUCCAAGUGUAGAGGUGAAAUUCGUAGAUAUUUGGAGGAACACCAGUGGCGAAGGCGGCUCACUGGCUCGAUACUGACGCUGAGGUGCGAAAGUGUGGGGAGCAAA